Molecule: ribosomal RNA, 939 nt
Filed under: Lysinibacillus sp. xfchu4
Lineage: Bacteria; Bacillati; Bacillota; Bacilli; Caryophanales; Bacillaceae
Description: bacterial SSU rRNA
Rfam family: Bacterial small subunit ribosomal RNA (bases 1-792)
Source: RNAcentral
UGGCGCGUGCUAUAAUGCAAGUCGAGCGACAGAGAAGGAGCUUGCUCCUUUGACGUUAGCGGCGGACGGGUGAGUAACACGUGGGCAACCUACCUUAUAGUUUGGGAUAACUCCGGGAAACCGGGGCUAAUACCGAAUAAUCUAUUUCACUUCAUGGUGAAAUACUGAAAGACGGCAUCUCGCUGUCCCUUUAAAAGGGGCCCGCGGCGCAUUACCUAGUUGGGGAGGUAACGGCUCACCAAGGCGACAAUGCGUAGCCAACCUGAAAGGGUGAUCGGCCACCCUGGGACUGAAACACGGCCCAAACUCCUACGGGAGGCACCAUUAGGGAAUCUUCCACAAGGGGCGAAAGCCUGAUGGACCACCCCCCCGGGAGUGAAAAAGGUUUUCGGAUCGUAAAAUUCUGUUGUAAGGAAAAAACAAGUACAGUGGUAACUGGCUGUACUUUACGGGUACUUUAUUGGAAGCCAACGCCUACUACGUGCAAGCAGCCGCGGUAAUACGUAGUGGCAAGCGUUGUCCGGAUUAUUGGGCGUAAAGCGCGCGCAGGCGGUCCUUUAGUCUGAUGUGAAAGCCCACGGCUCACCGUGGAGGGUCAUUGGAAACUGGGGGACUUGAGUGCAGAGGAGGAAAGUGGAAUUCCAAGUGUAGCGUGAAAUGCGUAGAGAUUUGGAGGACACAGUGCGAAGGCGACUUCUGGUCUGUACUGACCUGAGCCGAAGCUGGACACAGAUAGUCCUGUAGUCAGCGUAACGAUAUGCUAGUUAGGUUCGCCUAUGCUGCAGCUACAUAGAUCGCUGGUACGUCGAGCUGACCAGAUGACGGUCGCACGUGACAUUGUAUCGAGCACGCGGACUACAGCUGACUCGUGACACUGUAGAUGAUCUCGACACGUGAGUGGUCAUGUGCGUCAGUCGCUGAUGUGUAGUUCAAGGCACU